This 495-nucleotide ribosomal RNA is filed under the name uncultured bacterium. Its description in RNAcentral is "partial 16S ribosomal RNA". It matches the Rfam family "Bacterial small subunit ribosomal RNA", at positions 28 to 507 of the family's 1533-position model. The record is from RNAcentral.
GACGAACGCUGGCGGCGUGCCUAAUACAUGCAAGUAGAACGCUGAAGGAGGAGCUUGCUUCUCUGGAUGAGUUGCGAACGGGUGAGUAACGCGUAGGUAACCUGCCUGGUAGCGGGGGAUAACUAUUGGAAACGAUAGCUAAUACCGCAUAAGAGUAGAUGUUGCAUGACAUUUACUUAAAAGGUGCAAUUGCAUCACUACCAGAUGGACCUGCGUUGUAUUAGCUAGUUGGUGAGGUAACGGCUCACCAAGGCAACGAUACAUAGCCGACCUGAGAGGGUGAUCGGCCACACUGGGACUGAGACACGGCCCAGACUCCUACGGGAGGCAGCAGUAGGGAAUCUUCGGCAAUGGACGGAAGUCUGACCGAGCAACGCCGCGUGAGGGAAGAAGGUUUUCGGAUCGUAAAGCUCUGUUGUAAGAGAAGAACGAGUGUGAGAGUGGAAAGUUCACACUGUGACGGUGUCUUACCAGAAAGGGACGGCUAACUACGUG